This 441-nucleotide ribosomal RNA is filed under the name uncultured soil bacterium. RNAcentral describes it as "bacterial SSU rRNA". It matches the Rfam family "Bacterial small subunit ribosomal RNA", at positions 26 to 517 of the family's 1533-position model. The record is from RNAcentral.
AGAACGAACGCUGGCGGCAUGCCUAAUACAUGCAAGUCGAACGAGACCUUCGGGUCUAGUGGCGCACGGGUGCGUAACGCGUGGGAAUCUACCCUUGGGUUCGGAAUAACAGUUGGAAACGACUGCUAAUACCGGAUGAUGACGAAAGUCCAAAGAUUUAUCGCCCAGGGAUGAGCCCGCGUAGGAUUAGCUAGUUGGUGAGGUAAAGGCUCACCAAGGCUACGAUCCUUAGCUGGUCUGAGAGGAUGAUCAGCCACACUGGGACUGAGACACGGCCCAGACUCCUACGGGAGGCAGCAGUAGGGAAUAUGGACAAUGGGGGCAACCCUGAUCCAGCAAUGCCGCGUGAGUGAUGAGGGCCUUAGGUUGUAAAGCUCUUUACCGAGAUGAUAAUGACAGUAUCGGAGAAUAAGCUACCGGCUAACUCCGUGCCAGCAGCCG